CCUACGGGUGGCAGCAGUGGGGAAUAUUGCACAAUGGGGGAAACCCUGAUGCAGCGACGCCGCGUAAGUGAAGAAGUAUCUCGGUAUGUAAAGCUCUAUCAGCAGGGAAGUAAAUGACGGUACCUGACUAAGAAGCCCCGUCGAACUACGUGCCAGCAGCCGCGGCAAGACGGAGGGGGCAAGCGUUAUCCGGAUUUACUGGGUGUAAUGGGAGCGUAGGCGGUUGAGCAAGUCUGAAGUGAAAGGCCGCGGCUCAACUGCGGGACUGCUUUGGAAACUGGCCGGCUAGAGUGCAGGAGAGGUAAGCGGAAUUCCUAGUGUAGCGGUGAAAUGCGUAGAUAUUAGGAGGAACACCGGUGGCGAAGGCGGCCUGCUGGACUAUGACUGACGUUGAGGCCCGAAGGCGUGGGGAGCAAACAGGAUUAGAUACCCUGGUAGUC
RNAcentral lists this ribosomal RNA (440 nucleotides) under uncultured bacterium. Its description in RNAcentral is "partial 16S ribosomal RNA". It matches the Rfam family "Bacterial small subunit ribosomal RNA", at positions 338 to 795 of the family's 1533-position model. The record is from RNAcentral.